Molecule: long non-coding RNA, 4318 nt
Filed under: Heterocephalus glaber (naked mole-rat)
Lineage: Eukaryota; Metazoa; Chordata; Mammalia; Rodentia; Bathyergidae
Description: lncRNA (ENSHGLG00100040769.1)
Source: RNAcentral
GUGAGGGUCGCCGCUCACUCACUCCUCGCUCCCUUUUUUUUUUUUUUUUUUUUUUUUUUUUGCAAAGGCGGGGUCUCUCUUUGCAAACCAAUGACACAACCCUACAUGGGCUGGUCUCGCCCCCAACGGAGACUCCUCACUACAAAUCGGCUCUCGGGGGAUUAGUGGCUGCGUGAAAGUGCACAUAGGCGCGGCGGCGGCGGGCGGGCGCGGCAGCCAGUCCCCAGCCCGCCCCCGGCACGGCCCCGCCCGGGAGGCUCUCGGGAGGCGCUGGGCCUCGGAGCAGAGACUGGGGUCUCGCCGCAGCGGUUCGGAGUUCGCCCUCCGCUCGCCCUCCUUCCUCCUCCGCCCCGUCCACGUGGGGCCCGGGGCGGCCGGCCACGUGGGGCAACGCGAGCCUGGGCGGGCCUCGGCGCGGCUUCCCAGGGUGGCCUCGGCCCUGGAGGGCCCCCGCCGGGCGAGCGGAGCCAGCCUUCCCCCUUCCUGGCUCCUCAGCUCCAACUUCCUCCUGGGCUACGGCGCGGGCCGCUCCCGCCUGCGCUGGCCCGCGGGGUCAGGCGCGGGGCGGCCGCAGGGGGCAUUGCGCACCCCAGUCAGACCCGAGAGGCCGUGCCCGGGAGGCGGCGGCGGCUGUGGGCGCGCGCGCGAGGGCCAUGUGUGCUGGAACUUGCGGCGGUGUAUUCCCUACGAGAGGCAAAACAUUUUUACACAUUAAAAAAAAAAGUUCCUUCCUGUUGUCUGGAUCUCGCUGGAGCUAUUUUUAAAGACUCGCUUGCCAUAGGUUGGAUGUCCGAGCCUGGCGGGACGGAGGCCCGCCGGGGCCUGGAGAGUCGGGCUCCCGGGCUUUCGCAGCGCCCUUCCACCACCCGAACCCACCUGGUCUUGACGUCCUGCGAUUGAAGUCUGGACGGCAAACGCGGAGCGGGGCCUAGCACCUGGACUGGAUUCCGUGCCGUGACCCGUGACAUCCGAGCGCGUCUCCGGAAGGGAGCCGGUGGCUGCGGACGGGAAGGCUGGGAUCCCUGUGCUUCAGGGAGCCCAAAUUCUCAUCUCACUUCCCUGAAUCCCAGCAGGCAUCCUCCAAGACCCUUUGGGAAUGAGCAGUGCCCAUAAGCUCGAUGUACUUAAAACCAUAUUGAGUUGUUAGGAACUGGAUUGAGAUGUAGAGAAAGAAAAGCUCGGGGAGGGGCCUGAGGUCGAGCUUUUGAAGGCCGAAGAAACGCCCAUUCCGUGAGCUGAGACUCUUGGUGUGGCCUCGGUUCUGGAGAGCCCCAGGCCCUAUCAGGCCCAGAAAUUUACAGCCUGGGGCGUGGUGGGGCAGGGAGAGGCCACCCAGCUGAACCCCUUUUGCGUCCUAAAAAGCGCAGCAGGAGGCCUCUCAGUAUUUAUCUCUGCCUGUUGGCUAAAGUGCACCCAGAUGUGGCCUGCCUGACGGGUAAUGCAGGGCCCGUGGCUUCUAUGAUUGUUUUAUACUCAAACAUUUUAAAAUUCGAUUGACGAUCUCCCUCCUAUGACGGCAUCGCGAGCCCCGGCCUUUCUCACCGCUGGCAGCUACCCCGGGAACAGACCAGCUAUGCGACUCAAAGGUCUACGGUUAUUCGUGAGAGAAUUCCCAGAUGUGUGUUUCCAGUUGUCUCCAUCUUUUUUGCGACCCUGAGUUCCCACAGACUUAUCUUCAGGGCCCUCCUUUCCCCAUCGGCUUUGCCUCAAGGUCAUGGUGCCUAAACACUUGGGUAUAAACAUCCCAUUCACCCCAAGACUACUAGGAUAUCUGUUCCGGCUUUUCGGAGUUUCUCGGGCAUAAACUAUAAUAACUAUACGUAUAUAUUUUUCUGGUUUUUUUAUUUCACAGAAGAUCUUUGGUUCCGAGUGGUUGUCUGUCCUUAUGGAGAAAGUAAAAAAGUUAUCCAUAUGAUUUGUUCAAUUUUCACGCCUUCUAGAGUUUGAAAUCUGCCUGUGAAAAUACAGCCUUUGUUUUGAGAACAUUGUAAAGAAGACAUCGUCAAAGCUGAAAAUUCUUCUUGCUUAAGCUUGACACCCUGCAUUUUAAAAUGUAGAGCUCAGUUGCCACCAACAUGUGAACAUUUCCAACCUCUACUUUCUUUUUUAAGAUGUUCAAAAUCCCAAAUAAAAAAUUAGGUGAUAUACAAAUGGCCAGUAAGCGCAUGAAAAGAUAUUUAGCAUCACUAGUAAUUAGGGAAAUGCAAAUCAAAACCAUAAUAAGGUACCGCUUUAUGUCCACUUGGAUGGCUAUUAUGGACAAAACAGGAAAAAACAAUUGUGGAUGAAGAUGUGGAGAAAUGCAAACUUGUGUGCUGCUGGUCGGAAAGUAAAAUGGUAUAGCCACUGUGGAAAGCAUUCUGGCAGUACCUCCAAAAGUUAAACAAAAUUGCCAUGUGAUCCAGCAAUUCCAUUGCUGAAUAUGUGCCCAAAAAAUGGAAAGUUGAGACUCAAAUGGAUAUAUCUGCCCCCAUGUUCAUAGCAACUUUAUUCACAACAGCCACAAGGUGGAAACAACCCAUGUAUCUAUCAAAAGCCAGAUGUGGUGGUGCACAUCUGUAAUCCCAGCACUCAAGAGGCUGAGGCAGGAUUGCUGUGAGUUCAAGGACUACCUGGGCUACUUGGUGAGUUCAAGGCCAGCCUGAACUAGACUACAUAGCAAGACCCUGUCUCAAAACAACAAAUAUCUAUCAAGGGAUAAAUUGAUAAACAGUAUAUUUACUAGUCCACACAGUGGAAUAGUAUUCAGCCUUAAAAAGGAAUGAAGCCCUGACACGUGACAGUGUAGAUGAUCCUUGAAAACAAGCUAAGUGAAAUAAGCCAGGCACAAAAAUACAAAUAAUGUAUAAUUCCAUUUAUAUGAAGUAACUUAAAUAGGCAAAACCAUAGAAAGUACAAUGGUGAUUACCCAGGACCAAAGGGAGGGGAAUAUACAGUUAUUCUUUGAUGGGUAGAGUUUCUGUUUGGGAUGAUGACAAAGCUCUGGAAAUGGUUGGUGGUGGGUGAUGGUUGCACAGUAUUGUGAAUUGUACACUAAAAAACGGGUAACAUGGCAAAUUUGUGUCAUGUAGAUUUUACCACAAUAUAAAAAAGUUGCAAAAGUCUUUUAGUAGUUUCAUAUUUAUUGUUAUUUCUAAAAAUAUUUUUCUCUUUCUUUUUUUUCCGUUUUGUUUUGUUUUUUGAGACAGGGUCUCCCUAUGUAGUUAAACGUGAAUGUGACUUCACUAUAUAGCCUAGGCUGGCCUCGAACUUGCUGCGAUCCUCCUGCCUCUGCCCCCACCCCCUACCCCCACCUAGUGCUAGGAUUACAGGCAUGUACCUACAGACAAAGAGAAAAUGUUUUAAAAUACAUAUUAGUCAAUUUACAGGAUUAAUACUACUUACAAAUUUUUCUGUGUGUCUUUUAUAUACUACAGUUCUAAGGGCUGGGGAUAUAGUUCAGUGGUAGAGUGGCUGCUUUCCAAGUGCAAGGUCCAGAGUUCAUUUUCCAGCACUACAAAUACAUAAAUGUGUAUACACACGUGUAUACAUUUUGUACCUAUAUAUAGGGUAUUGAAAUGCUUGUUUUUCUUUUUCUUUCUUUUUUUUUUUUUUUUGGGUACUGGGGAUCGAACUCGGUCCUUGUGCUUGUGCAGUAGGCCGCGAAACCACUGAGCUAAAUCCCCAACCCAAAAUGCUUGUUUUUCAGUACUCUCCAUGAUCUCUUCCCAUGUGAGCCUAUUUAAUUGGUCAGUCUAAAUUCCUAGUGUUUCAAAGUGGACUUUGACAGACACAAAACAGGAGAGUGGUAAAAAUAACAGUAUCAGUGACAAAUAGCAGCACCAAUGUUUGUCCUUGACUUGCCACAGUGCUCACAAUGUGCUCAGCACUUGAUAAACAUCUUCAAUCGUCAUAGCUGCCCCUUAAAAAAAUACUAAUAUUAUCUCCAUUUUACAUAAGGGAAACUGAAAAUCCAAGACUUAACAUGACUUCCCCAAGGCCACACUGCUGGUGUUUAGUGAUGAGCUGUCAUUCUAAUCUUUAAACAGGAGAAAGGAAAUCCUACGAAUUAAAUGUGUUGUCAGAAGCUGGUUUAAAAAAAGAAAAGAUGGAAGCCAGGCACAGUGGCACAAGACUUAAUCCCAGCUAUUUGGGAGGCUGAAACAGGAAGACUGACUUCAAGUCCACCAUGGGGAACGUGAUGAGACACCUUUCUCAAAAAUAGAAAGACAAGGACUGGCAUAGUGUGGUGGAUUAUAAGGCUCUUCAGGAUCAAUUUUGGAACAAUAACAAAAAGUCAUGAUAAUAAAGCAGAAAGUAAAUGAUGAAUGACCUGAAA